Molecule: long non-coding RNA, 224 nt
Filed under: Prunus dulcis (almond)
Lineage: Eukaryota; Viridiplantae; Streptophyta; Magnoliopsida; Rosales; Rosaceae
Description: sRNA ncRNA
Source: RNAcentral
CCAAACCAUUACAGCAGUGGGUCAUUUGCAUUUUUUAGUUACAAAGAAAAACCUAGUAAUUUUUAUUUACACAAGAAAACUUAACUAUGUAACAAAUAUUUUGAUUAUUAGCUAACCAGCGAGCGACAGAGGCGGAGUUAAGAAAUUAAGUAAAAGUGAACAUUUUUAAAAUUUCAAACUCUCUUUUUUAAUGAGAAAUCAACAUAAUUUUUUAAGGAAAUCCC